UACGUAGGGUGCAAGCGUUGUCCGGAUUUAUUGGGCGUAAAGAGCGUGUAGGCGGCUAUACAGGUCCGCUGUGAAAACUCGAGGCUCAACCUCGAGACGUCGGUGGAAACCGUAUGGCUAGAGUCCGGAAGAGGAGAGUGGAAUUCCUGGUGUAGCGGUGAAAUGCGCAGAUAUCAGGAAGAACACCCGUGGCGAAGGCGGCUCUCUGGGACGGUACUGACGCUGAGACGCGAAAGCGUGGGGAGCGAACAGG
RNAcentral lists this ribosomal RNA (253 nucleotides) under uncultured bacterium. Its description in RNAcentral is "partial 16S ribosomal RNA". It matches the Rfam family "Bacterial small subunit ribosomal RNA", at positions 524 to 776 of the family's 1533-position model. The record is from RNAcentral.